CUCAUUUUAAUUCUUAGAAAUGUGGCCAUAUCAUUGGUAAAUCUUAUUUUAGAUGAGGACUGGUAAAUAUCAAAUUUGGGGGAUAUUUAUUGAUACCAGGAAUUGAGCCCAGGAGGGUAGCCAGCCCUUUUUAUUUUUAAUUUUGAAAAUAGGUCUCACCAAGUUGCUUAUGGCUUUGCUAAGUUGCUGAGGCUACCUUUGAACUUUCUAUCCUCCUGCCUCAGCCUCCUGGGCUGCUGGGAUUACAGGUGUACCACACCUGGCAAAUUUGGGGAACAUAUUUUUAAGAUUUUUUUUUAAGACGGACACAAUAUAUUUAUUUUUGUGUGGUGCUGAGGACUGAACCCAGUGCCUCACAUGUGCAUGGCAAAACAGGAUAACCCAAGAUAGCAUAUAGUACAGCAUUUAGUGAGUUGAUGGGGGAACCAGCUAACAGCACGCACAUUUAACCAGUUGGCAACUUGGUGAUUAAAACCAUUUAGUCCACCAGCCGCUGCAUUCUGUUGACCUGGAAAAAAGCACAUUCCCUUUCUCAAAAUGAUUUUGAUUUCUGUUAGAGAUGAAGAGAGGGCUUUUGAGUAUCACCCAAAACUGGUAAUUGAGCCAGAGCCAACUUUUUGGAUAUCAACAGUAGUUGAUAGGAAGAACAUGGUUGAAAAAGGUAAGAUAGUAAAGAGAAUGUGAUUACCUCACAUUGUUGAGGAAGAGAUUGAUGUUAGAAGGGUUGUCCAAGUUUGCAGUCCAGUGGAUUGAUCUGAAGUGCAGACUCCAGGUUGCAGGACCAGUUGUGGAUAAACUAGAGGAGGCCCGCAGACUCUGUCAAGAGGUGUGAAGGAGGUUUUGGCUAAGGUGUCAGAGUCGGUGGCAGAGUACUGAGACCCCAACAACUGAUCUAGUGCUUGUUGCAAAGACCAGUGUGAUGUUAAAGCCUGGCAGGCUUGGAAGCCAGCAGCCCAGUUUAAAUCUUGGCUUCUUCGUGGCUGUAUGACUUUGAACCAGUUAAAUAAUCUCCAGAAUUUUAUUUUUUUCAUCAAAAAAUGGUGAAAAGAGGAAGGACAUUCUAAACUGCUUAAAUUUUGUGUACACAAACGAUGACAGGGAUGGGCAUAGAGCACACUAAACAGCUUCUGGGUAGGCUCACACUGACAUUGGUAGUAUGCACUCAAGUAAUGGCUUAAAAAGAUAGCUCCUUUUGAGCUGGGUGGGGUUUUGUGUACCCAUAGUCCCCACUACUGGGGCGGCUUAGGCAAUAUUGGGAAAACAUGUCUCAAAACUUUUGGUGCUAGGCAGGCAAUAAAAAUCCCCCAUUAUUUGCCUACUGGGAGUGGGUGCAUUGACUUGCUCCCUGUAUUCCUGUUUUGAGGCUGCAGGACACUGAGUUCCAAGGUAUGUGUGUAUUGUUGGAAUCACCUGGGGAGCUUUUGAGAACUGUUACCUGGGUUCCCUCCUUCCCGGGGUUCUGAUUUAGUUUGAAGUGGGUCCUGGAUGCUGGGGCUUUGAAAGUUCCCUAGGACCCCAUAGUAGUCCUGUUAGCCAUUUUUGAGUCUCCUUACCCCACUUCCUUCAGCCUCCAAGUAUAAGGAAUAAGCCACAUCUGUGCACUUGACCUGGGACCCUGCCUACUGGCCACACCCUCUUCCCAGCCCUGCUCUUGCUGGCAGAAGCAAGAUGCAGUUUCUUCUGAUUCAGUUUCGGUUUCUUUCAUUUCUUUGUUUCUUGGUGUUGAGGAUCAAACCCAGGGCCUCACAUGCUAGGUGAGUUCUCUACUGCUGAGCCUCAACCCCAGCCCUGAUUCAGUUUCUUAAUAGGCUGUGGCAUUGGACUGAAAACUCCUGAUGUUCCAGCACCCAGAUAAAACUCACCAGAAAAUGCUUUCCUUUGCUUCUUCGUUUAACACAUUCAUAUUUCUGCUACUGGGGGAGAGAUCCCCUGAGCAAGGUUUGGGGAGAAAAGGUAGACAACUAGGAGGAAGGGCACUCAAGUGGAAUUACCAUAUGCUGAGUAUAUGUGCAAUGCUUGUUUCUCAACCCGUUUGGGGUAAAUCUCCAACUCCAAGAAACGCAGUGUUCUCAGCUGUUAAAUUUGGGCCCUGAUAUUUUAUAAAAUAAAAAUCUUUCACCAUUGAAAUGAAAUUGUUUUUGUUGUUGCUGGGGAUUAAACACAGGGUUUC
This 2170-nucleotide long non-coding RNA is filed under the name Marmota monax (woodchuck). Lineage: Eukaryota; Metazoa; Chordata; Mammalia; Rodentia; Sciuridae. The record is from RNAcentral.